GCGGUUAAAAAGCUCGUAGUUGGAUCUCGGCAAGUAGAGGGCGGUAUGCUUCGUAGCAUUACUGCCCUAUUACUUGUAGUUUUGCCAGAGGUUCCUGGGUGCUCUUAAUCGAGUGUCUAGGGAUGCUGGCAGGUUUACUUUGAAAAAAUUAGAGUGCUCAAAGCAGGCUAUUACGCUUGAAUAUUCGUGCAUGGAAUAAUAGAAUAGGAAGUUGUUUCUAUUUUGUUGGUUUUCGGAAAUCGACUUAAUGAUUAAUAGGGACAGUCGGGGGCAUUUGUAUUCAAACGACAGAGGUGAAAUUCUUGGACCGUUUGAAGACAAACUACUGCGAAAGCAUUUGCCAAGAAUGUUUUCAUUAAUCAAGAACGAAAGUUAGAGGUUCGAAGGCGAUUAGAUACCGCCCUAGUUCUAACCAUAAACGAUGCCAGCUAGCGAUCUGAGGACGUUUUUUUUGUAGACUCCUCAGGAAGCUUCCGGGAAACCAAAGCGUGUGGGUUCCGGGGGAAGUAUGGUUGCAAAGCUGAAACUUAAAGGAAUUGACGGAAGGGCACCACCAGGAGUGGAGCCUGCGGCUUAAUUUGACUCAACACGGGAAAUCUCACCAGGCCCGGACACUGGAAGGAUUGACAGAUUGAGAGCUCUUUCUCGAUUCGGUGGGUGGUGGUGCAU
This 669-nucleotide ribosomal RNA is filed under the name uncultured marine eukaryote. RNAcentral describes it as "SSU rRNA". It matches the Rfam family "Eukaryotic small subunit ribosomal RNA", at positions 615 to 1285 of the family's 1831-position model. The record is from RNAcentral.